Molecule: ribosomal RNA, 468 nt
Filed under: uncultured bacterium
Lineage: Bacteria
Description: partial 16S ribosomal RNA
Rfam family: Bacterial small subunit ribosomal RNA
Source: RNAcentral
GACGAACGCUGGCGGCGUGCCUAACACAUGCAAGUCGAACGGAAAGGCCCUGCUUUUGUGGGGUGCUCGAGUGGCGAACGGGUGAGUAACACGUGAGUAACCUGCCCUUGACUUUGGGAUAACUUCAGGAAACUGGGGCUAAUACCGGAUAGGAGCUCCUGCUGCAUGGUGGGGGAUGGAAAGAUUCGGCGGUUGGGGAUGGACUCGCGGCUUAUCAGCUUGUUGGUCGGGUAGUGGUUUACAAAGGGUUUGACGGGUAGCCGGCCUGGGAGGGGGACCGGCCACAUUGGUACUGAGAUACGGCCCAGAAUCCUACGGGAGGCAGCAGUGGAGAAUAUUGCACAGUGGGCGGAAGCCUGAUACAGCAACGCCGCGUGCGGGAUGACGGGCUUCGGGUUGUAAACCAAUGUCGCCGGUGACGAGGCGUGCGUGACGGUAAUUGGUAAAGAAGCACCGGCUAACUACGUG